RNAcentral lists this ribosomal RNA (1350 nucleotides) under metagenome. RNAcentral describes it as "bacterial LSU rRNA". It matches the Rfam family "Bacterial large subunit ribosomal RNA", at positions 1564 to 2925 of the family's 2925-position model. The record is from RNAcentral.
UGAGUACGAGCUGCUACGGCAGCGAAGUUGGUGAUGUCAUGCUUCCAAGAAAAGCUCUAUACCCGUUAAGGCAUAACUGCCAGUACCCGAAACCGACACAGGUGGGGUGGUAGAGAAUACCGAGGUGCGCGAGGUAACUCUCUCUAAGGAACUCGGCAAAAUGGCCCCGUAACUUCGGGAGAAGGGGUGCCACAGCAAUGUGGUCGCAGUGAAGAGGCCCUGGCGACUGUUUACCAAAAACACAGGUCUCCGCUAAGUCGCAGGACGAUGUAUGGGGGCUGACGCCUGCCCAGUGCCGGAAGGUUAAGGAAGCCGGUCAGCGUAAGCGAAGCUGGCGACUGAAGCCCCGGUGAACGGCGGCCGUAACAAUAACGGUCCUAAGGUAGCGAAAUUCCUUGUCGGGUAAGUUCCGACCCGCACGAAAGGCGUAACGAUCAGGGCGCUGUCUCGGAGAGAGGCUCGGCGAAAUAGAAUUGUCUGUGAAGAUGCGGACUACAUACACCCGGACAGAAAGACCCUAUGAAGCUUUACUGUAGCUUGGUAUUGUGCCCGGGCUCUGAAUGCGCAGGAUAGGUGGGAGACGUUGAUCUAGUGCUCGUGGGUACUAGGGAGUCAAUGGUGAGAUACCACUCUUUCAGAGCUAGGGUUCUAACGUUCACCCGUUAUCCGGGGAGCGGACAGUAUCAGGUGGGCAGUUUGACUGGGGCGGUCGCCUCCUAAAAGGUAACGGAGGCGCGCAAAGGUUUCCUCAGGCUGGUUGGAAAUCAGCCGACGAGUGCAAAAGCAGAAGGAAGCUUGACUGUGAGACCUACAAGUCGAACAGGGACGAAAGUCGGCUUUAGUGAUCCGACGGUUCUGAGUGGAAGGGCCGUCGCUCAACGGAUAAAAGUUACUCUAAGGAUAACAGGCUGAUCUCCCCCAAGAGUUCACAUCGACGGGGAGGUUUGGCACCUUGAUGUCGGCUCAUCGCAACCUGGGGCUGAAGUCGGUCCCAAGGGUUGGGCUGUUCGCCCAUUAAAGCGGUACGCGAGCUGGGUUCAGAACGUCGUGAGACAGUUCGGUCCAUAUCCGGUGUAUGCGUAGGAAUAUUGAGAGGAUUUCUCCCUAGUACGAGAGGACCGGGAGGAACGCACCUCUGGUGUACCAGUUAUCGUGCCAACGGUAAACGCUGGGUAGCCAUGUGCGGAGUGGAUAACCGCUGAAAGCAUCUAAGUGGGAAGCCCACCUCAAGAUGAGUAUUCCCAUGGGGUAACCCAGUAAGGUCACGGGAAGAACACCCGUUGAUAGGCUCUACGUCGAAGUUCAGUGAUGGAUGCAGCGGAGGAGUACUAAUAGACCGAGGGCUUGACC